Molecule: ribosomal RNA, 1962 nt
Filed under: Salmonella enterica subsp. enterica serovar Enteritidis
Lineage: Bacteria; Pseudomonadati; Pseudomonadota; Gammaproteobacteria; Enterobacterales; Enterobacteriaceae
Description: partial 23S ribosomal RNA
Rfam family: Bacterial large subunit ribosomal RNA
Source: RNAcentral
CCGAAAGCUAUUUAGGUAGCGCCUCGUGAAUUCAUCUCCGGGGGUAGAGCACUGUUUCGGCUAGGGGGCCAUCCCGGCUUACCAACCCGAUGCAAACUGCGAAUACCGGAGAAUGUUAUCACGGGAGACACACGGCGGGUGCUAACGUCCGUCGUGAAGAGGGAAACAACCCAGACCGCCAGCUAAGGUCCCAAAGUCAUGGUUAAGUGGGAAACGAUGUGGGAAGGCCCAGACAGCCAGGAUGUUGGCUUAGAAGCAGCCAUCAUUUAAAGAAAGCGUAAUAGCUCACUGGUCGAGUCGGCCUGCGCGGAAGAUGUAACGGGGCUAAACCAUGCACCGAAGCUGCGGCAGCGACACUGUGUGUUGUUGGGUAGGGGAGCGUUCUGUAAGCCUGUGAAGGUGUGUCGUGAGGCAUGCUGGAGGUAUCAGAAGUGCGAAUGCUGACAUAAGUAACGAUAAAGCGGGUGAAAAGCCCGCUCGCCGGAAGACCAAGGGUUCCUGUCCAACGUUAAUCGGGGCAGGGUGAGUCGACCCCUAAGGCGAGGCCGAAAGGCGUAGUCGAUGGGAAACGGGUUAAUAUUCCCGUACUUGGUGUUACUGCGAAGGGGGGACGGAGAAGGCUAUGUUGGCCGGGCGACGGUUGUCCCGGUUUAAGCGUGUAGGUGUGUGUUCCAGGUAAAUCCGGUUCACUUUAACACUGAGGCGUGACGACGAGGCACUACGGUGCUGAAGCAACAAAUGCCCUGCUUCCAGGAAAAGCCUCUAAGCAUCAGGUAACAUCAAAUCGUACCCCAAACCGACACAGGUGGUCAGGUAGAGAAUACCAAGGCGCUUGAGAGAACUCGGGUGAAGGAACUAGGCAAAAUGGUGCCGUAACUUCGGGAGAAGGCACGCUGACACGUAGGUGAAGUGAUUUACUCAUGGAGCUGAAGUCAGUCGAAGAUACCAGCUGGCUGCAACUGUUUAUUAAAAACACAGCACUGUGCAAACACGAAAGUGGACGUAUACGGUGUGACGCCUGCCCGGUGCCGGAAGGUUAAUUGAUGGGGUCAGCGCAAGCGAAGCUCCUGAUCGAAGCCCCGGUAAACGGCGGCCGUAACUAUAACGGUCCUAAGGUAGCGAAAUUCCUUGUCGGGUAAGUUCCGACCUGCACGAAUGGCGUAAUGAUGGCCAGGCUGUCUCCACCCGAGACUCAGUGAAAUUGAACUCGCUGUGAAGAUGCAGUGUACCCGCGGCAAGACGGAAAGACCCCGUGAACCUUUACUAUAGCUUGACACUGAACAUUGAGCCUUGAUGUGUAGGAUAGGUGGGAGGCUUUGAAGUGUGGACGCCAGUCUGCAUGGAGCCGACCUUGAAAUACCACCCUUUAAUGUUUGAUGUUCUAACGUGGACCCGUUACCCGGGUUGCGGACAGUGUCUGGUGGGUAGUUUGACUGGGGCGGUCUCCUCCUAAAGAGUAACGGAGGAGCACGAAGGUUGGCUAAUCCUGGUCGGACAUCAGGAGGUUAGUGCAAUGGCAUAAGCCAGCUUGACUGCGAGCGUGACGGCGCGAGCAGGUGCGAAAGCAGGUCAUAGUGAUCCGGUGGUUCUGAAUGGAAGGGCCAUCGCUCAACGGAUAAAAGGUACUCCGGGGAUAACAGGCUGAUACCGCCCAAGAGUUCAUAUCGACGGCGGUGUUUGGCACCUCGAUGUCGGCUCAUCACAUCCUGGGGCUGAAGUAGGUCCCAAGGGUAUGGCUGUUCGCCAUUUAAAGUGGUACGCGAGCUGGGUUUAGAACGUCGUGAGACAGUUCGGUCCCUAUCUGCCGUGGGCGCUGGAGAACUGAGGGGGGCUGCUCCUAGUACGAGAGGACCGGAGUGGACGCAUCACUGGUGUUCGGGUUGUCAUGCCAAUGGCACUGCCCGGUAGCUAAAUGCGGAAGAGAUAAGUGCUGAAAGCAUCUAAGCACGAAACUUGCCCCGA